UCAGGUGCCUAUAUCGGCGGUGUCCACCUCUUCCCAUUCCGAACAGAGAAGUUAAGCCCGCCAGAGCCGAUGGUACUGCAGUAAAAUGUGGGAGAGUAGGUCGGUGCCAAAU
Molecule: non-coding RNA, 112 nt
Organism: Mucilaginibacter sp. OK098
Lineage: Bacteria; Pseudomonadati; Bacteroidota; Sphingobacteriia; Sphingobacteriales; Sphingobacteriaceae
Source: Rfam